This is a long non-coding RNA of Bombus impatiens (common eastern bumble bee), 155 nucleotides long. RefSeq lists it as uncharacterized. The transcript has 5 exons. The record is from RefSeq and is a predicted model, not a curated record. NCBI's taxonomy places the organism in Eukaryota, Metazoa, Arthropoda, Insecta, Hymenoptera, Apidae.
AAGAAAAAUGUAUCCUCUUUAACCGUUUUAGCGCUACGCAGCGCGAUCACGCUGUUCACGUACUGUGGUGAAACUGUGUCGCGAUGUUUGGUCACAAUCGUCAAUUCGCAACGCGCUCGGUUCCGAAAGUAACACAUCGAGAGUGAUAUCAGAAA